AUUGGAGGGCAAGUCUGGUGCCAGCAGCCGCGGUAAUUCCAGCUCCAAUAGCGUAUAUUAAAGUUGUUGCGGUUAAAAAGCUCGUAGUUCGAGUUCAGUUUCGGACUGGAGUGGGAGGUCACCGCCCGGUGCUUCCCCUGUAGACUCCGAACAGCUUCCUUUAUGGGAAGCCAAGCCGGUUCUGGCGGGGUGCUCUUUACCGAGUGUCCCGCGCGGCCGGCCAGUUCACCUUGAAUAAAUGAGAGUGCUCAAAGCAGGCUACUCUGGAAUACAAUGCCCGAAUGUUAACUGCAUGGAAUGAUGGAAGAUGAUCUCGGUUCUAUUUUGUUGGUGGUGGGAGCCAGAGGUAAUGAUAAACAGGGACUGUCGGGGGCAUCCGUACUACGACGCGAGAGGUGAAAUUCAGUGACCGUCGUAGGACGAACAACAGCGAAAGCAUUUGCCAAGAAUGUCUUCGUUGAUCAAGAACGAAAGUUAGAGGAUCGAAGGCGAUCAGAUACCGCCCUAGUUCUAACCCUAAACGAUGCUGACUAGCAAUUCGCCGUCGUUAUUCCCAUGACGUGGCGAGACGCCCCCGGGAAACCUCAAGUUUUUGAGUUCCGGGGGUAGUAUGGUUGCAAAAUUGAAACUUAAAGGAAUUGACGGAAGGGCACCACCAGGAGUGGAGCCUGCG
RNAcentral lists this ribosomal RNA (673 nucleotides) under Macrobrachium tenuipes. RNAcentral's name for it is "SSU rRNA". It matches the Rfam family "Eukaryotic small subunit ribosomal RNA", at positions 547 to 1187 of the family's 1831-position model. The record is from RNAcentral. Lineage: Eukaryota; Metazoa; Arthropoda; Malacostraca; Decapoda; Palaemonidae.